RNAcentral lists this ribosomal RNA (253 nucleotides) under uncultured bacterium. RNAcentral's name for it is "partial 16S ribosomal RNA". It matches the Rfam family "Bacterial small subunit ribosomal RNA", at positions 524 to 776 of the family's 1533-position model. The record is from RNAcentral.
GACGUAGGGCGCGAGCGUUGUCCGGAUUUAUUGGGCGUAAAGAGCUCGUAGGCGGUUUGUUGCGUCGGCUGUGAAAUCCCGAGGCUCAACCUCGGGUCUGCAGUCGAUACGAGCAAACUAGAGUGUUGCAGGGGAGACUGGAAUUCCUGGUGUAGCGGUGAAAUGCGCAGAUAUCAGGAGGAACACCGGUGGCGAAGGCGGGUCUCUGGGCAAUAACUGACGCUGAGGAGCGAAAGCGUGGGGAGCGAACAGG